Molecule: ribosomal RNA, 107 nt
Filed under: Microcebus murinus (gray mouse lemur)
Lineage: Eukaryota; Metazoa; Chordata; Mammalia; Primates; Cheirogaleidae
Source: RNAcentral
UCUGGCCAUACCACCCUGAACUCGCCCUAUCUCGUCUGAUCUCGGAAGCUAAGCAGGGUCGGGCCUGGUUAGUACUUGGAUGGGAAAUGGGAAGUGUGCCUAAAGCA